AUUUCGGAAUUUUUAGAUAAAAAUACAAUUUAUGAUAAAUGUCUAAAUAUUCGACGGUUUUGGCCAUAUGAAAAAUAGUAAAUGAAUUUUAAAAAUUCUGAGAAAAAUAUAUGUUCAAUAUGAGACUAUAUUCUGCUAAAUCUCAUAAAAGAAAUAUUUUUGGAACUGAUUUGGUAUUUUUCAUGAAAAUGGACUAGUUAUGAGUAAAUGAAUUAAAUAUGUUAUGUGAAGUAAGAAAAUUGGAAAAUAAGAUUUUAUGGCUUGAGAAUCCUAUAUGAGG
RNAcentral lists this long non-coding RNA (280 nucleotides) under Panax ginseng (ginseng). RNAcentral describes it as "long non-coding RNA (PGIN_LNC017404)". The record is from RNAcentral. Lineage: Eukaryota; Viridiplantae; Streptophyta; Magnoliopsida; Apiales; Araliaceae.